This is a long non-coding RNA of Brienomyrus brachyistius, 384 nucleotides long. RefSeq lists it as uncharacterized. The record is from RefSeq and is a predicted model, not a curated record. The transcript has 3 exons. Lineage: Eukaryota; Metazoa; Chordata; Actinopteri; Osteoglossiformes; Mormyridae.
GCCAGGUGUAGGGAGAGGUGGGUGGAUGGACGCCCUGAUGGGGACAGGCCAGGUGUAGGGAGAGGUGGGUGGAUGGACGCCCUGAAGGGGACAGGCCAGGUGUAGGGAGAGGUGGGUGGAUGGACGCCCUGAAGGGGACAGGCCAGGUGUAGGGAGAGGUGGGUGGAUGGACGCCCUGAAGGGGACAGGCCAGGUGUAGGGAGAGGUGGGUGGAUGGACGCCCUGAAGGGGACAGGCCAGGUGUAGGGAGAGGUGGGUGGAUGGACGCCCUGAAGGGGACAGGCCAGGUGUAGGGAGAGGUGGGUGGAUGGACGCCCUGUAGGGGACAGGCCAGGUGUAGGGAGAGGUGGGUGGAUGGACGCCCUGUAGGGGACAGGCCAGGUG